AGAUGAUUUGCAUAUACCAUCACCAAACUGCCCCAAACCUACUACUUUAAAAUAUUCCAUUGCUGUUUGGUACAACGUUCAAUAGAAGAACAGAUGCAAAAUUAACAUUUCCUGCAUUGUCAAACUGAUCAAAGAUGCAGCUCAGAAGAGAGAGGAAACGCACGGUCAGGUGACGUUUCCUGUAUGUGUCUAUAAAUAGCCGUGUGAGAAGGUUUACAUGGCGUUCAGCUGAGAUAUCUGUACAAUUUCUGUCGUCUGCUUGGCUCAGGUGUAAGAAAGGGACUGCGCAGAGCAGCUGACAACAAAAUACGUCUGCUCUCGAGUUUGAAAAAUACAUAGCUUGUUCCUGCUAAAUUAACUGGUGCUGAUGAGAGCUUGCCAUUCACUGAGCUGGGGGAAGGCCACCGAAUCCCUGCCGACACAGGAAUAACAUUGAAAUGACCCAUUCUCCUCCCGAUGCUGCUUCUCAGCAGGUGAAAACUCCAAGCGAGAAAUCCCCCCCACCAAAGAGCUGGCUAUGGUGCACAGAGACCUCCCACGCACAACAUAAGAUACCGGCUUAUUUUUUCAUUAGGAGAGAAUGGUCCCUGCUGGUCUGAACUUAACCUUGCAAGUAUUUGGCAGCAGUGCGAUACAUGCGGACCAGUGCCUGGCUGCGGCUCAUGUCAGCCACAGGGACCGAGCAGAGACCCUUUCACGCAUCUCCUGGAUUGUCCAAGACAGACCAACAUAAUACAGGGUUCCCAGGAGUUACCAGAAUGCCAUUUAUACCAGAAAAAUAUGAAUGAACAAUAAUGGAGAAGGAGCCGUUCCUGCAGAUCCUCCAGGAAGAUUUAAGGCAUGAUAGGACAUACAGAGAAACUCCCACUUCUGCAUUAAAAAGGAGGGGGUUGAUUUGUUGGCAGGGAAGCGGUGCCGGGAGAGCGGGAUACUUGUGCUGGGUGGUCAGGAGGCCUCUGUGGCCAUGGCCGCUGCUGUUGCCCUCGGUUGCGUUAACUGCUGUGCAGAAUCAGAAACAGCUGUUGUGGAGGAAGAAGGAAUGGAGCAUGGGGAAAACUACAGACUCAUCACGGGGGGCAGCUGGGCAUCAAAUGACUGACUUCAACAUGCAAACCUGUUCCUAGCUGGAAAAACUGAGGCAGAUCCUGAGCACAGCUUUAUGCCAGAGCAGGUUGCCCUAUGGGCUGGUGGUGCAGACUGGGACAGCGAGAAGUUCAGCCCCUGGACAAAACCAUGUGGCCCAGCACACUGUCCCAUUCUGCUGACUUCUCCGUAUGAGCAUCGUUCUUUCUGAUUUAUGCUACUUCUUAUCUGCCUGCCUUCCCCUUAUGUGUUUCUUCCUCCGCAGUUCUUAAUA
Molecule: long non-coding RNA, 1357 nt
Filed under: Struthio camelus australis
Lineage: Eukaryota; Metazoa; Chordata; Aves; Struthioniformes; Struthionidae
Description: lncRNA (ENSSCUG00000004662.1)
Source: RNAcentral